Molecule: ribosomal RNA, 490 nt
Filed under: uncultured bacterium
Lineage: Bacteria
Description: partial 16S ribosomal RNA
Rfam family: Bacterial small subunit ribosomal RNA
Source: RNAcentral
AUUGAACGCUGGCGGCAGGCCUAACACAUGCAAGUCGAACGGUAACAGGAAGCAGCUUGCUGCUUUGCUGACGAGUGGCGGACGGGUGAGUAAUGUCUGGGAAACUGCCUGAUGGAGGGGGAUAACUACUGGAAACGGUAGCUAAUACCGCAUAACGUCGCAAGACCAAAGAGGGGGACCUUCGGGCCUCCUGCCAUCGGAUGUGCCCAGAUGGGAUUAGCUAGUAGGUGGGGUAACGGCUCACCUAGGCGACGAUCCCUAGCUGGUCUGAGAGGAUGACCAGCCACACUGGAACUGAGACACGGUCCAGACUCCUACGGGAGGCAGCAGUGGGGAAUAUUGCACAAUGGGCGCAAGCCUGAUGCAGCCAUGCCGCGUGUAUGAAGAAGGCCUUCGGGUUGUAAAGUACUUUCAGCGGGGAGGAAGGGAGUAAAGUUAAUACCUUUGCUCAUUGACGUUACCCGCAGAAGAAGCACCGGCUAACUCCGUG